GUGAUGACCUCGCACUGGAACGUUCGCCUGCCGAGUGUGAAGCGGUGGAAAUGAGAAUCAGCACCUCCACAUCUGAGGCAAUGGUCCUCAGCUGGAAAAGUGUGGAGUGCCCACUCCGGGUCAGGUUUCUAUUGUUCUAUUCUUCUAAGCCCUUUUGAAUUGUAGCUCCAGUUUCUGGUUUUUAGCAAACAGGACUUCAGCUUCUGUAGAACAGAUUCUGUUAAUGUUCCACCUGCCAUGCAUUCGGAGAUGCUCUUCUACAUACUGUAAUGAGUGCUUAUUUGAGUUAAUAUUGCCUUCCUCUUUUCUUGGAGCAGCCUGGCCAGUCGAGGUAACCGGAUAUUUUCUCUUUUUUGGACAGUUCUCAGAAAACCCUAGAGAUGGUUGUGUGGGAAAGUCCAAGCAGACCAGAAACUCCUUAAAUAUUCAGAACAAUCUGUCUGACACCAGAAACUUUCUUCCCCCUUCUGAUGCUCAAUUUGACCUUCAGCAGGUUGUCUUCAACAUGACUAUAUACAUAUAUGCACUGAGUUGCUUUUUUUUUUUUUUUUUUUUUUGCCUGUUCCGUCUGGCUCUUUUGCCAUCAGAAUUAUUGUCUAAAGGCAAAGAAAGAUGCCCAACGGAUUUACUUUACCAAAUUGACCAUCCCAGCCUUGCCGUAAUGGUCCAUUUGAUUCACCUUUUAUUGUUUAUUUUAUUUUCACUUACUGAAUACGGGACAGACUUGACUGGGGGAAAGAAGGGGAGAAAGAAAGAGGGAAAGAGAAACAGCUGAGAAGAGGGACGGGGGAGAAGGGCAAAAGACAAAAACCAACAGAACGGGCAGAGAGAAAAAAAAUGCAUAUAUCAAUCACCUGGGUCACCUGCUGAGAAAGAAAAAAGAAAACAAGCAGAAGAGAACAAGAGUAAUAGAAUAAACAACAUCACAAUGAUAUAUGGGAAUAUGACAGUAAAUACUAAAUAUUAAACAUUAUUGUGCAGCACAUAAGAUCAACAGAACACAGUGUGCUUUGAGGUAGGAGCCAAAAAGGGUGUAGUUUGUGGGUGUGAUCACCCGUGUGUACACCUGUGAGCAUGGACGCGCUUGUUUUUUGUUUUUUAAAAGGUUCCUUCAUGUAAUGAUCUGCUAGAGGGUGUGGGGGGGUCACAGCCCCGUCCUCCAGGGCAUGAAGCAGGUGUGGAGGAGAUCAAAACUCCAGACAUCCAGAGGCCCCCAGAACACAAGAGACCAAGGAAGACCAACAGAGGGGCAGCUGCGCCACUGUCCCGGAAAGAGCUGAGGAGAGUCCCAGAUGAGGGCUCACUCAGCAGCCGCGGAGCAGAAGCCAGGGGGGGUUGCAGUGACGCGCCCGUGAGCUCCGCCAGCAGCCAGCCGCGCCUGAGUGACCGAGCCCCAGGCCGAGAGGCCGGGGGCACCCCACCUCCGAAGUGGCCCGAGCGAGCCCCAGGCUCCGGGCCCCGAUAAGCGGCCGCCAAGGAGUGAGCCGG
This is a long non-coding RNA of Astatotilapia calliptera (eastern happy), 1488 nucleotides long. NCBI's taxonomy places the organism in Eukaryota, Metazoa, Chordata, Actinopteri, Cichliformes, Cichlidae. The record is from Ensembl.